GGAGCACGGGAAGCUAGCUGUGCGUGCGCACAAGAGGAAUACCUGUACUUGGAGGCUGCCGCUGCUGGCUCUCGUUUUAUGUCCAUCGUCGCAGCAAUGGCCAACACAUCCGCCACCGCCUCCGAUGAGCUGCACCGCACCCAGCAGUACCUCGUAGAAGUCAUUGACGAGUGCGUCUUCGUUGAGCGCCAACGCGAGCUGACAGAGCGUAGGCUUUCCUCUCAACUAGAGGCGCAAAAGGCUCUCGUUAGCGACCUAUUCGUGGUGCUCCACGAUGUGUGCCGGUACACGUCCACCAUGGAGGAAGCCAUCUUAACCACGCUGCUGCACACUUUACCCGCCUCAUCGCCUGCGCACCAGCAACUUCUUCAGUGCCGCAGCAGGGUUCGUGAGGCGCUCACGCGCCUUUGGCGAGGCCGUGGCGGCGACCGAGAAGACAGCGUGCUCCUCCCCGCCACACCGCGAACGUUUAGCGGCUUGAGAGCGGCGGACGCCCCCAUCAUAUCGCAUGACAGCGCAGCUGGGGCUGGCGUACAGGUGAUGCAGCGACUCGUCGAGCACGAGGCUCGCCUCCUGGACGCCCUGGCCAGAGCCACGGCCAGGAUCGAGGCAACGCGCGCGGCUGCAACGGCAGAAAACGGCGAGUUGGAGGCACUUCGUGCCCGCAUGAACGAGCUUACCCGUGUCGUCAACAGUAGCGAUUCAGGGUUGUUGAAAACCUCGCCGGAAGCCUCUGCUGCGCAGGCGCCAGAGGGCGUGUCGCCAGCCACUGCACGGUUCGCAGAAGCACGUGUACUGGCGUACGAAAAAACAGUGCAAGCGCUGAACAGCGAGCUUGCUCUGCUGCACGAAAACUACGCAGCGCUCUCGCACGCCAGAACCCGUGAGGUGGAUAUGCUGAAGCAGCACAUGGCCGACGACCAACGCAAGCACGAGGACCAGAUUGCUGAGUGUGACGCGGUGCUAGGCCGGAUGUCCCUGGAGCUUGAGCAGCUGAUCCAGGAAAACGCGCAGCUGAAGCACAAGCUGCGUAUGACAGCCGAGCCUGACUGACGGCAGCAGCGAAACUGUCGCUUGUGUGGGUGGCAAGUAAAGUUCUGCUGCGUCUUCUCCGCCCCAGUACUAUGUGAGGCGUACGCGAGUGCUUUCGCACGUUUCCUACAACUAUGAGCCACGUGGAAAACCAGCAAAGGCGCAAGGCCGUCAACAACGCUGCCUUCGAGGGGAAUGCCAGACUCCGCUCAGCCAUCCGCUGCACUCCUGCUCGACGUGGACAGCCAGUCUCCAUUCUUGAGCGCUCAGCAGCUACCCUCAUCAACCUGAACAUGAGCUUCUGCAUGUGUGCCUGUGUAUGGACGCUGCAGCACGUCUCCCGUCGCGAAGCUUCCUUGGAUGUACGUGAAUCCCUCCAGAGGAUGAUGGACUCAAAAUGGUAGAUUCAUUUUUUUUUUCAUCUCUGCGAUCCCCCGUCUGUCUCUACUCCACCGACGCAUAUCUUACUUCGGUGGAUUUUCUUUUGUUUUUUUUUUCUUUGUGUGCGUGUGUGUGUGGGGGGGGGGACUUGGCGCGCGCCCCUCUUCUACUUUGCCUCUUUCGCAUAUACUCGUUUACCUUCCACUGUGUGACGUGAAUGUGCUGUGUGCACCACAUGCGGUAAUGGACGAUGCUGCCCAG
RNAcentral lists this unclassified non-coding RNA (1674 nucleotides) under Leishmania donovani. Its description in RNAcentral is "gene:LdHU3.35.6920(CDS-product:hypothetical_prote in_conserved)". Lineage: Eukaryota; Euglenozoa; Kinetoplastea; Trypanosomatida; Trypanosomatidae. The record is from RNAcentral.